UGGGGAAUUUUGGACAAUGGGGGAAACCCUGAUCCAGCCAUCCCGCGUGUGCGAUGAAGGCCUUCGGGUUGUAAAGCACUUUUGGCAGGAAAGAAACGUCAUGGGUUAAUACCCCGUGAAACUGCCGGUACCUGCAGAAUAAGCACCGGCUAACUACGUGCCAGCAGCCGCGGUAAUACGUAGGGUGCAAGCGUUAAUCGGAAUUACUGGGCGUAAAGCGUGCGCAGGCGGUUCGGAAAGAAAGAUGUGAAAUCCCAGAGCUCAACUUUGGAACUGCAUUUGUAACUACCGGGCUAGAGUGUGUCAGAGGGAGGUGGAAUUCCGCGUGUAGCAGUGAAAUGCGUAGAUAUGCGGAGGAACACCGAUGGCGAAGGCAGCCUCCUGGGAUAACACUGACGCUCAUGCACGAAAGCGUGGGGAGCAAACAGG
This 429-nucleotide ribosomal RNA is filed under the name Acidobacteriota bacterium. RNAcentral's name for it is "Acidobacteria bacterium partial 16S ribosomal RNA". It matches the Rfam family "Bacterial small subunit ribosomal RNA", at positions 355 to 776 of the family's 1533-position model. The record is from RNAcentral. Lineage: Bacteria; Pseudomonadati; Acidobacteriota.